This 973-nucleotide long non-coding RNA is filed under the name Prunus persica (peach). RNAcentral describes it as "long non-coding RNA (PPER_LNC003862)". Lineage: Eukaryota; Viridiplantae; Streptophyta; Magnoliopsida; Rosales; Rosaceae. The record is from RNAcentral.
CCAGGCUGAGCCUCAAGGAGGAUUGAGAAAAUAGCAGGCUGGGCUGAGCUUUUACAACAAAUUCAAAACCUAAACUUGCCCCAUGGGUUGUGCCUAAAUGAGCCUACUACAUUUUUCUCAUUUUUUUUUCUUUUUAUUAUGUGUCUAUUUUUUUCUCCAUUUUUUUUUCCUAUGUUUAUAGUUCUCUUUUUUUUUUUCCCAUAAAUUCUUCAAUAACAAAUCAAGUGAAAUCACUGUAAUGCCUCCUUUUAUACAAAGGUAUUGAUAAUUGGCGGAAAAAAAACAUGAAACAUUGAUAUUGGGCUUGGUCUUGGGCUUCCAGCAAACCACCCAGACUUAUAUAUAUAAUAAUUGGGCUUGCAGGCCGAGUCUUAAUGGGCUUUUCGGGUCUGGCCUUCAUGGGCUCAAAUGAACAGGGCUUAUGAGCUGGAUUAGGCUUUAGACACCCCAACCCAUUAAAUAGUGGGCCAGACCAUCCUCAAGACCAUAACGAGCCAUGUUGGGUUGAGUUUUUUCUCGAUGGGCUGAGUGGGCUGCCAUUGGUCCAUGAGCCAGCUAGCCAAAUGAUGACCCCUACUCCUGUCCUAUAUCACGAUGAGACCACUAAAUCCUGCAAAUGGCCGACAACCUUGUGUUAAUAAUAUUAUUCCUUCCAACUUUGUCUACAUCCAUCCCCAUGUUAGGUUACUAGCUACUAGCUAGCUCGCAAGGGCUUGAACAAUACUUAGUGUCUGUUUGGCAUUGAUUAUUUGGCUAAAAAGUGAUUUUUGACAGAAUUUUUGAAGUUUACCCCGUUUGGUAAAAGACAAGAUAAUCAUUUUUAGGAGAAAAUAGCUGUCGAUGACAGUGAUUUUGGAGAGUAGCUCAAGAGCUGAUUUUAUUUCAGGUUUUGCGGAAAGCAAAACACGGAACCGGUGGUGUUUAAUGAAUUCCAAGCAAGUGCGUAUAGUAUCCUUAUUAACUUUUCUAAUUU